Molecule: transfer-messenger RNA, 352 nt
Filed under: Caryophanales
Lineage: Bacteria; Bacillati; Bacillota; Bacilli
Also listed under: 3 other names
Description: JACDOC01 sp017656295 Standard tmRNA
Rfam family: transfer-messenger RNA
About the family: Bacterial tmRNA, also known as 10Sa RNA or SsrA, is named for its dual tRNA and mRNA-like properties. Its role is to liberate the mRNA from a stalled ribosome.
Source: RNAcentral
GGGGACGUUACGGAUUCGACAGGGGUAGAUCGAGCUUAAGUUGCGAGCCGGAGGGAUCGUCUCCGUCAUCAACGUCACCUAAAUAUAACUGGCAAAGAAAACUACGCUUUAGCUGCUUAAUUAACGCAGCUAGCUCCUCCUUCCAUCGCCCAUGUGGAAGUGUAGGGGUUCAACCAAGUGGGCUACGCCGGAUUCCGCCGCCUGAGGAUGAAGGAAGAGACCAAUCAGGCUAGCUGGUCGGACGCCUGUCGGUAGGCAGAAGAUGCAGCGAAAAAUAAUAUACCGACUACGCUCGUAGACGCUUAAGUGGCGAUAUCUCUGGACGUGGGUUCGACUCCCACCGUCUCCACCA